CCUACGGGAGGCAGCAGUAAGGAAUAUUGGUCAAUGGGCGGAAGCCUGAACCAGCCAUGCCGCGUGCAGGAAGACGGCCCUAUGGGUUGUAAACUGCUUUUGUACCGGAAUAAACCCCCGAACGUGUUCGGGGCUGAAUGUACGGUAAGAAUAAGGAUCGGCUAACUCCGUGCCAGCAGCCGCGGUAAUACGGAGGAUCCGAGCGUUAUCCGGAUUUAUUGGGUUUAAAGGGUGCGUAGGCGGCCUGUUAAGUCAGGGGUGAAAGACGGUAGCUCAACUAUCGCAGUGCCUUUGAUACUGACGGGCUUGAAUGUACUUGAGGUAGGCGGAAUGUGACAAGUAGCGGUGAAAUGCAUAGAUAUGUCACAGAACACCAAUUGCGAAGGCAGCUUACUAAGGUAUGAUUGACGCUGAGGCACGAAAGCGUGGGGAUCAAACAGGAUUAGAUACCCUGGUAGUCCACGCCCUAAACGAUGAAUACUCGAUGUUGGCGAUAUACGGCCAGCGUCUAAGCGAAAGCGUUAAGUAUUCCACCUGGGGAUACGCCCGCAGGUGAACUCAAAUGAAUUGAGGCUGNGNGNGCGAGNGACGACGAGGAGAG
RNAcentral lists this ribosomal RNA (601 nucleotides) under uncultured bacterium. RNAcentral describes it as "bacterial SSU rRNA". It matches the Rfam family "Bacterial small subunit ribosomal RNA", at positions 338 to 944 of the family's 1533-position model. The record is from RNAcentral.